AUGCAAGAGAACAUUUGUGACUGCUCGGCGCGCGCAAAAUACUGUUUAAUCAUUUAUGUGAACUAUUUAAAUAGUUCAAUUGUCGUUGACAGUGAUGCUCUAUUUUGCAAGCAGGGGAAGCCAGAAGCCGAGAGCAGCAGGUCAUGCAGAUGCGAGUGCCCUGCUUUGAUAUGGCUCUUUCGGGCUUCUAAUAGUUUGUAUGUAACAGAGCACCAUGUAAACCACAACCAUUCCAUGUCUCACCAUGGGCCAAGGGAAAACAAUGUAAACCUCGGGAAGGUGUACAACAUUAUUGGAAGCGUCUUCAGCUCGGUUGAGAAGGUGUUGUUCACAAAGAGGGCGCUCAUGAACAUAUGGUGUAAGAUAAGCCGAGAGCGAGCUGAUGAUGAUGUUAGAAAGACGUUGGAAGUGUUCGCAGACAUUGUUGCAGGGGACCCAGACUUUACAUAUUCUUGCUGA
RNAcentral lists this ribosomal RNA (459 nucleotides) under Triticum aestivum (bread wheat). RNAcentral describes it as "partial small subunit ribosomal RNA". The record is from RNAcentral. Lineage: Eukaryota; Viridiplantae; Streptophyta; Magnoliopsida; Poales; Poaceae.